UACGUAGGGGGCAAGCGUUGUCCGGAUUUAUUGGGCGUAAAGCGCGUGUAGGCGGCUUUGCAAGUCGGGUGUGAAAGCCCUCGGCUCAACCGAGGAGGUGCGCCCGAAACUGCAGAGCUUGAGUACCGGAGAGGAUGGCGGAAUUCCCCAAGUAGAGGUGAAAUUCGUAGAUAUGGGGAGGAACACCGGUGGCGAAGGCGGCCAUCUGGACGGAUACUGACGCUGAGACGCGAAAGCGUGGGGAGCAAACAGG
This 253-nucleotide ribosomal RNA is filed under the name uncultured bacterium. RNAcentral's name for it is "partial 16S ribosomal RNA". It matches the Rfam family "Bacterial small subunit ribosomal RNA", at positions 524 to 776 of the family's 1533-position model. The record is from RNAcentral.